Long non-coding RNA from Stomoxys calcitrans (stable fly), 592 nucleotides. RefSeq lists it as uncharacterized. The transcript is spliced from 3 exons. The record is from RefSeq and is a predicted model, not a curated record. Lineage: Eukaryota; Metazoa; Arthropoda; Insecta; Diptera; Muscidae.
UUGUAGAAUAUUUUCACAAAAACAUGUUAAAAUAAAGGCAAAUAGUUUUUAUAGUAUAAUCAUAAAGCCAAACAUAAAUUAGAACUGAAAAUAUACAAAAAUCGUUGGCACCACCCAUCUGACGUGCAACCAUUGGCUUUGGUUAUCUCGCUCUCGUCUUUUGUCCUUUCCAUGGCCAAUUUUGCUCACCUAUCUUUCACCAUUGUACGCUGUGUUUUGCUGCCGUCAAGGUUUUAAGCCCUUCUGCGCCCUCCAGUGAGGCUGCACCAUCAGAAUUACCAACAACAGUUUUACUAUUCGCACUAUUGUUGGUUUCUACAUUUCUAUCCUCUGUUGAAUUUAUUGUUGUACACAGUUCGGCGAAAUCGUUGGCGGGUUGGUAGGAGCCACCAAAAACACUCAAAAUAGAGGCAUUUGCCACAACUUUCUUCAAAUCUUGCAUUUUCUUGGUCAUGCUGUCCUAUGCGGUUCUCAUGUUUUUGAGGGAGAUGAGCCAAAUCGUCAAGCUGGGUACUGUGGUUUAUUAAAUAAAGUAAAGUUAUAAAAGCUGCGCCGUAGCACCCCUUUUGAAAAGAUGAAUAUAUUUAGAUAA